UACGUAGGGCGCAAGCGUUGUCCGGAAUUAUUGGGCGUAAAGAGCUCGUAGGCGGCUUGUCGCGUCGAUUGUGAAAGCCCGGGGCUUAACUCCGGGUCUGCAGUCGAUACGGGCAGGCUAGAGUGUGGUAGGGGAGAGCGGAAUUCCUGGUGUAGCGGUGAAAUGCGCAGAUAUCAGGAGGAACACCGGUGGCGAAGGCGGAUCUCUGGGCCAUUACUGACGCUGAGGAGCGAAAGCGUGGGGAGCGAACAGG
Molecule: ribosomal RNA, 253 nt
Filed under: uncultured bacterium
Lineage: Bacteria
Description: partial 16S ribosomal RNA
Rfam family: Bacterial small subunit ribosomal RNA
Source: RNAcentral